Molecule: ribosomal RNA, 390 nt
Filed under: uncultured bacterium
Lineage: Bacteria
Description: bacterial SSU rRNA
Rfam family: Bacterial small subunit ribosomal RNA
Source: RNAcentral
GACGAACGCUGGCGGCGUGCCCAACACAUGCAAGUCGAACGGGACCGGGGGCAACUCCGGUUCAGUGGCGAACGGGUGCGUAACACGUGAGGAACUUGUCUUUCGGCGGGGGAGUAGCCGGCCCAACGGCCGGGUAAUACCGCGUACGCUCUUCGGGGGGCGAUCUCCUGGAGAGGAAAGCAGCAAUGCACCGAAAGAGAGUCUCGCGGCCUAUCAGCUAGUUGGUGAGGUCAUGGCUCACCAAGGCGACGACGGGUAGCUGGUCUGAGAGGAUGGCCAGCCACAUUGGGACUGAGACACGGCCCAGACUCCUACGGGAGGCAGCAGUGGGGAAUCUUGCGCAAUAGGCGAAAGCCUGACGCAGCGACGCCGCGUGUGGGAUGACGGCCU